UACGGGGGGUGCGAGCGUUGUCCGGAAUCACUGGGCGUAAAGGGCGCGUAGGUGGCGUGAUAAGGGUGUGGUGAAAGCCCGGGGCUCAACCCCGGGUCGGCCAUGCCGACUGUCAGGCUGGAGACACGUAGAGGCAAGCGGAAUUCCGGGUGUAGCGGUGGAAUGCGUAGAGAUCCGGAAGAACACCGGAGGCGAAGGCGGCUUGCUGGGCGUGAUCUGACGCUGAGGCGCGAAAGCGUGGGGAGCGAACAGG
RNAcentral lists this ribosomal RNA (253 nucleotides) under uncultured bacterium. RNAcentral describes it as "partial 16S ribosomal RNA". It matches the Rfam family "Bacterial small subunit ribosomal RNA", at positions 524 to 776 of the family's 1533-position model. The record is from RNAcentral.